RNAcentral lists this ribosomal RNA (403 nucleotides) under uncultured bacterium. RNAcentral's name for it is "partial 16S ribosomal RNA". It matches the Rfam family "Bacterial small subunit ribosomal RNA", at positions 28 to 526 of the family's 1533-position model. The record is from RNAcentral.
GACGAACGCUGGCGGCGUGCCUAAUACAUGCAAGUCGAACGCAGUUGGGACGGGUGAGUAACACGUGGGUAACCUCCCAUCAGAGGGGAUAACACUUGGAAACAGGUGCUAAACCGAUACUGAUGGAUGGACCCGCGGUGCAUUAGCUAGUUGGUGAGGUAACGGCUCACCAAGGACAGGAUGCAUAGCCGAAGUGUGAGGGGGAUCGGCCACACUGUGACUGAGACAAGGCCCAGACUCCGCCGGGAGGCAGCAGUAGGGACGUUACGGCCAUGAACGAAAGAAUGACCGAGCAACACCGCGUGAGUGAAGAAGGUGUUCGGAUCGUCAAACUCUUUUGUGAGAGAAGCGGUAUCUAACCAGAAAGCCACGUCUAACUACGUGCCAGCCGCCGCGGUAAUUC